GCUUGUGGCUCAGUGGUAGAGUGCUUGCCUGGCAUACGUGAGGCCCUGGGUUCGAGUCUCAGCACUGCA
Molecule: transfer RNA, 69 nt
Filed under: Marmota monax (woodchuck)
Lineage: Eukaryota; Metazoa; Chordata; Mammalia; Rodentia; Sciuridae
Description: tRNA.Ala
Rfam family: tRNA (bases 4-64)
About the family: Transfer RNA (tRNA) molecules are approximately 80 nucleotides in length. Their secondary structure includes four short double-helical elements and three loops (D, anti-codon, and T loops).
Source: RNAcentral